CGCCUCUUGCCACCCAUAAGAGGUCCAGCCUGCCCAGUGACAAAUUUCAACGGCCGCGGUAUCCUAACCGUGCGAAGGUAGCAUAAUCACUUGUUCUUUAAAUAGGGACUAGUAUCAAUGGCAUCACGAGGGUUGCACUGUCUCCUUUUUCCAAUCAGUGAAACUGAUCUCCUCGUGAAGAAGCGAGGAUAAAAAUAUAAGACGAGAAGACCCCAUGGAGCUUUAAACCUUAAGCAACUUACUUAUUUAUACCCUUUUAGUUAUAAAGCUAUGCUAACCGGUUUUAGGUUGGGGUGACCGCGGAGUAAAAAUUAACCUCCACAACGAAAAGAACUAAAUCUUUAUCUAAGAGUUACACCUCUAAGAAUUAGAAAACUAACGUUUAAUGACCCGACAAACGAUCAACGGACCAAGUUACCCUGGGGAUAACAGCGCAAUCUACUUCUAGAGCCCAUAUCAACAAGUAGGCUUACGACCUCGAUGUUGGAUCAGGGUAUCCCAGUGGUGCAGCCGCUACUGAUGGUUCGUUUGUUCAACGAUUAAAACCCU
This 549-nucleotide ribosomal RNA is filed under the name Philautus hosii (Borneo bubble-nest frog). RNAcentral describes it as "partial 16S ribosomal RNA". It matches the Rfam family "Bacterial large subunit ribosomal RNA", at positions 1817 to 2597 of the family's 2925-position model. The record is from RNAcentral. Lineage: Eukaryota; Metazoa; Chordata; Amphibia; Anura; Rhacophoridae.